UACGGAGGGUGCAAGCGUUGUUCGGAAUCAUUGGGCGUAAAGCGCGUGUAGGCGGCUAUCUAAGUCUGAUGUGAAAGCCCGGGGCUUAACCCCGGAAGUGCAUUGGAUACUGGAUGGCUAGCGGUCGAGAGAGGGAAGUGGGAUUCCUGGUGUAGGGGUGAAAUCCGUAGAUAUCAGGAGGAACAUCGGAGGCGAAGGCGGCUUCCUGGCUCGUUUCUGACGCUGAGACGCGAAAGCGCGGGGAGCAAUCAGG
Molecule: ribosomal RNA, 253 nt
Filed under: uncultured bacterium
Lineage: Bacteria
Description: partial 16S ribosomal RNA
Rfam family: Bacterial small subunit ribosomal RNA
Source: RNAcentral